This 253-nucleotide ribosomal RNA is filed under the name uncultured bacterium. RNAcentral describes it as "partial 16S ribosomal RNA". It matches the Rfam family "Bacterial small subunit ribosomal RNA", at positions 524 to 776 of the family's 1533-position model. The record is from RNAcentral.
UACGAAGGGGGCUAGCGUUGCUCGGAAUCACUGGGCGUAAAGCGCACGUAGGCGGAUUGUUAAGUCAGGGGUGAAAUCCCGGGGCUCAACCCCGGAACUGCCUUUGAUACUGCUGGUCUGGAGGUCGAGAGAGGCGAGUGGAAUUCCGAGUGUAGAGGUGAAAUUCGUAGAUAUUCGGAGGAACACCAGUGGCGAAGGCGGCUCGCUGGCUCGAUACUGACGCUGAGGUGCGAAAGCGUGGGGAGCAAACAGG